This is a non-coding RNA of Aegilops tauschii subsp. strangulata, 344 nucleotides long. NCBI's taxonomy places the organism in Eukaryota, Viridiplantae, Streptophyta, Magnoliopsida, Poales, Poaceae. The record is from RefSeq and is a predicted model, not a curated record.
CGUCUAUCUCGCACCGCUCGGAGAAAAUCCCCCCUCCUCUCUCUCUCUCUCUCUCUCUACUGCAACCAGCAACGGGAUCCGCCGCAACCAGCAACGGCGAGGUGAGAGGUGGCCAGAUCCGCACAGGUCGCCAUGGCGUAGACGGCGACGAUGACAGGAGUGGCGCACAUCCGUGGGGCAGGCCGCCGCCAUGGAGAUGGAGCUCCUUCUCCCCACGACGCAGAGGCCCCAUGGGGCCUCCCUCCUUCUCCGGCUUCAGUUCUAGCAACCAUUUUGCAUCGAUGGAUAUUGGCGGAUUUGAUAUGAUCUGUAGUGGAAGGGACAAGAUUGAAACACCAAAGCAG